CAGCCGCCGCGGGAAUACGAAGGGUGCAAGCGUUAAUCGGAAUUACUGGGCGUAAAGCGUGCGUAGGCGGUUUGUUAAGUCUGUUGUGAAAUCCUCGGGCUCAACCUGGGAAUGGCAAUGGAUACUGGCAAGCUAGAGUGUGUCAGAGGAUGGUGGAAUUCCCGGUGUAGCGGUGAAAUGCGUAGAGAUCGGGAGGAACAUCAGUGGCGAAGGCGACUAUCUGGGCCAACACUGACACUGAGGCACGAAAGCGUGGGAAGCAAACAGGAUUAGAUACCCCGGUAGUCCCUGUCUCUUAUAC
RNAcentral lists this ribosomal RNA (301 nucleotides) under uncultured bacterium. Its description in RNAcentral is "partial 16S ribosomal RNA". It matches the Rfam family "Bacterial small subunit ribosomal RNA", at positions 509 to 807 of the family's 1533-position model. The record is from RNAcentral.